GGGAAACGACCAACAAUAGAUUUUAGUCCCACCUUGCCAAAGUUGACUGAAAUUGCCUCUCUUUCAUCCUAUAAAUACAACCCUUAGGUCAUUGCUUAGACUUGGGUUUUAUUUAGAUGAAAGUUUGUCAUAGUUGCAACCCGCAUACUUCGUUUGUGUCCUAUGGUGAGACCAAUACAUCUGAGAACACCAGUUCCAUUAAUAAAGCUUUAAUCUUAAUUUGCAGUAUCGAUAUUGCAAUAUUAGUUCAUUCUUGUCCUUUGUUUGCAUGCAUGAUCCUCUAGUAGGUUUAGUGUAGAUAGUACCUCGUGGUUAGGUCGAUCAUGCUCUGGUGUGGUUAAUAAACUCUUGGAGUUGGUUGAGCGAUUGCUAAGUUGCGACAUCUUUGCACGUUUGUAGUCGGAUAAUCAAAGUCUACUCCAUUAAAAAGGGUAGUUAACUUCUCAUUGAAAGACGAGACAUCUUCUCCUCUAUCAACAGGAGUCAUGAAUGGCUAGGAUUUCCUAAAGAGAUUUUUGGUUUCUUCUUGUGGAGUAUGUUCUCCAGUAUAGCUAUGCUCCCAAAAAGGGGAUCUUUUUAGGAAUCUUGUUUUGUUGGUAGCUUGUUAUCCAUUGGAAUCUUGGGUCUAGAUAUAUUUUACGAAGUACACAUUUGUUGGCGAGGAGGAGCUUAGGCGUGGCUAGAUUCUUGAGGUUAUGCAAUAAAUACGAAAUACCCUCCAACAUGCUUUGGUGUGGGCCUUUUAAUUAGUGUUCUUGGAUGAAUAAAUGGGUCUCGUUAGUGCCUAUGGGUAAAAUGUUUUCAAAUGUAUUUGACUUGGUGUCUUGCUAGAAUCUAGGUAUGCUUUCUAAGGUUCAUAUUCAUGGUGCAGUGUGUUGGUAUAUCAGGUGACACAAUGUGAC
RNAcentral lists this long non-coding RNA (902 nucleotides) under Hordeum vulgare. Its description in RNAcentral is "long non-coding RNA (HVUL_LNC001889)". Lineage: Eukaryota; Viridiplantae; Streptophyta; Magnoliopsida; Poales; Poaceae. The record is from RNAcentral.